UGGAGUAUCGCCAAGCGGUAAGGCAGCGGGUUUUGAUCCCGCCAUUCCCAGGUUCGAAUCCUGGUACUCCAGCCA
This 75-nucleotide transfer RNA is filed under the name Gallaecimonas pentaromativorans. RNAcentral's name for it is "tRNA-Gln". It matches the Rfam family "tRNA". Rfam says of the family: Transfer RNA (tRNA) molecules are approximately 80 nucleotides in length. Their secondary structure includes four short double-helical elements and three loops (D, anti-codon, and T loops). Lineage: Bacteria; Pseudomonadati; Pseudomonadota; Gammaproteobacteria; Enterobacterales; Gallaecimonadaceae. RNAcentral also lists the same sequence under 6 other names. The record is from RNAcentral.